AGUUGUAUUUAUGCUCUGGCUCUUGAAAGAGUUCCGGCCUCUUCAAGAAUUCCAUGUGGAAACCCUGUUCUUGUUAAUCAAGUUCGGUGCAGCUUCUAUUCCUGUAUUCAAACUUAAAUUUCAAUCUCUCUCUUGGAAAUGGAAAAACAGAAAUUGUGGGAUAACAGAAAACAGGCGAUUUAUGCUUACUUACAAUCCUGAAAAUUAACUUGCAUCAGUUUUGUUCUAAGAUGCUAGCAAUAUAAAUUAGAAGCAGCCCAAAGCCAUAGAAUUGUAGUAAUUGCUAUGCAGUUUACGCUAUCAGAAAUUUCAUCUUUUUAAAAAAAAAAAA
This 331-nucleotide unclassified non-coding RNA is filed under the name Hevea brasiliensis (rubber tree). Lineage: Eukaryota; Viridiplantae; Streptophyta; Magnoliopsida; Malpighiales; Euphorbiaceae. The record is from RNAcentral.